UACGUAGGGUGCAAGCGUUAAUCGGAAUUACUGGGCGUAAAGCGUGCGCAGGCGGUGAUGUAAGACAGUUGUGAAAUCCCCGGGCUCAACCUGGGAACUGCAUCUGUGACUGCAUCGCUGGAGUGCGGCAGAGGGGGAUGGAAUUCCGCGUGUAGCAGUGAAAUGCGUAGAUAUGCGGAGGAAUACCGAUGGCGAAGGCAGCCCCCUGGGAUAACACUGACGCUCAUGCACGAAAGCGUGGGGAGCAAACAGG
Molecule: ribosomal RNA, 253 nt
Filed under: uncultured bacterium
Lineage: Bacteria
Description: partial 16S ribosomal RNA
Rfam family: Bacterial small subunit ribosomal RNA
Source: RNAcentral